RNAcentral lists this long non-coding RNA (2955 nucleotides) under Cervus hanglu yarkandensis (Yarkand deer). Its description in RNAcentral is "lncRNA (ENSCHYG00000000540.1)". Lineage: Eukaryota; Metazoa; Chordata; Mammalia; Artiodactyla; Cervidae. The record is from RNAcentral.
UCGGCUGUGAUGAUAAAAGGCCAGGCCCAGCUGCCCAGCGCCGGAGGCCUCUCCGCCCAUGGGUCCUGCGGUGAUGGAGACCCAGCAGGCACCCCUUGCACCGCCUGGCCCCAACAGAGUCCAGCCAAGGACCCCAGGGAGGCCCCCACCCCCUGAAUUGCCGCCGGCCGCCCCAAGGGUCCCCUCCCCAGGCAGGGUUGAAGGCACGUGCAGAAGAGCACACACGUCUUGGGUCUGAGUGCUGUGAAAUGUGUGGUCUGCUCACACAUCCACCCACACACCCAAGACUUCACUCGGUCGGUUCUCAGCAAAGGGCCGACAGCUCAGAUGGGGUGGGGGUGGUGCCCACUUGCUCACCUCAAGCUGGCGACCCCCCGCUGGAGCCCCAGCUCCCUGUCUCCCUGACGGCAACCCCCCCCCCCCCCCCAGCCAGUUGCUGCAGGGUCCACGGAGACAAGUGGUGAUGAGUGGCUGGGAGUUAUCAGCAUGUGGUUAAGGUCACAGUGUCAUUAUGGUAAUUAUUCCCGAGUGACUGUGUGUGUUUCACAUGACUUGCCUUUAUACCAACUUGUCUCAGUAUAAAACUCAGAUCACACAGUCAUUCCCCGAGGUCCUUGGAGGCAUCAGAUGAUGCCUGGGGAGCCGGCCACAGUGCCUCUCACCGAGAGACACGUGACCCAGGCCCCAAGUCCUCUUGCAAGAAAGCAGAGUCCGCUAUCCUCUGGUCGCACCGAUGUCAUCUGCAGCCCAGACCGUAAGCCAGAGAACUGUGGAAAUACAGGUGAACGCAGAUUCUUUUACCACGGAGCCACAGAGAAGCCUGAAAUAAUACAUAUUAUAAGUUUAAAGACACGGCCACUUGUCUUUAAAGGAAAUGAAUCUUUAAAAGCUAAAGGAAGUGAGGUCUAGGGUGAAGAGCCUGCGCAGCGUCAUUCACUCAUCGCUCGUCAGCAAGUGUGGUGAGUACCCAGUGCGUGUGGUGUGGAUGUUACCAGGACGGGAGCCGCUUCUGUCCCAGCGGGAGAGACGCGGUGCCCACAGCCACCCCCCCACCCCCCGCCCCCGGAGGGGGACACUGAGCUGCCUCCGACACCCGCUGGGUCCCCGAAGCUGAGCUCUGAGUCCUUAUAACUCAGCAUCCAGUGUCUGGACUCACGCAGGGGAUGAGGCCUCGCAGAGGAAGGGGUCGCACCUUUGCCUGCAGGCACUUACUUCUCACUGGUAUUGAACUCUCAACCCUGAAUUUCUUGUGAGUAAAUCUGGGGGUACUCUGCCUUCCCCUGGGGCUUCCAGGGGAUGAGGUCAUCGAGAAGUUAGAGCUGAUUUAUUAUCACCCUGGCACAGUGACCGCCUUAGGCCCUGGGGAGGAAAGAGAGGACUCGGAUGAAUAAAACAUGGUGCUGAUGCUAAGACAAACAGAAACAAUUACAGGUGGAGAAACUGAAGUCCUUCCUGAGAGUCAAAGUGGUCUGCCGAGUCGCAAGGCAGAGACGGCGAGAACCCGAGCCUCCUGACGCCAAGGCCGCUGCAGUAUCCAGGACAUCCAACUGUGUCAGACAAGGGGCCUUUGGAGCUGGGUUUCCUAGGAUUAACAGGAGUUUGCCAGAGGGUGCGUGGUAUAGGCACAGGACAGCGAGUGCCAAGGCCCGGAGGCAAGAAAUUGGAGGGCUUGUUCAGGAGGCAGCAAGUAGGUGAGUGGGGCUGGUUCCAGGCAGGUUCAGGAAAGUUACAAGAGAAAAAAACAUGUGCUGACAGGAACUGUCCCUCAGGAGGAAGGUGGCACUGGUUAAGGCUAUAUGGCGGCUUUGCAUCUUGUUUUCGUCUCACAGAACCUUGAACUGUAUCAAGGGAGGUGGUUUUCCCCUUUGACAGGGAAGGAAAUGAGGGUGCAGAGGAGCUUGGUGAUCAGCAUGAGGUCUCAAGGCAGGAGGCAGAGAAGUGAGGUCUCCCAUCACUCUGCCAGGCCAACUGAGUCAGCCCGGCCCAGAACUUUCUAGUCCCCACACAGGCCCGGGAAGAGUGGCCCAGCUUGGGGUGGGAAGCAGAGCCAGGGGCUCCUGGGGAAGGCUGUGCCGUCCUCACCGCAGGGCGGGAGUGACCCCAAAAGCUAAAAUAAGGCUGUGUGCUCCAAAAAUACUCUACUCAAAACACUGCAGUGCUGGAAAUAGGCCCAUCUGCUGGCUUCCCGCCCGGGGACCAGGGCAGAGCAGGAGAGCCACACUUCUGUCACCACCCCUUUUUAUUUGAGGCGAUCAGGCCCUUGCCACCUGGAGCUGCCUCCGUCCACGGAACGCUUGCUGGGGGGAGUCCGGGCACAGACGCAGGGGCGGUCGGUCACCCACUGUCAUGGUCUUCCUGUUCCUGGCCCUGCUCCUGACAUCAGGGCGCAGCAGGGGGCCUGGGGGUGGGGGGCAGGUCAGGGCGGGCUCCCGGGACUGUGGGGACACGGGCAGUGGACGCAGACAAGGUCACGAGUCCCGCCCGCAUCGGUGCACCAGGACGUCACUUACUCAGGACUGCCCCGGGCUUAGCCAGACAGACCCCAGCAGCCUCUGAUCUACCAACCUCCGACCUGGCCCCCUUUAACUUCACCGCCUCAGCUCCAAGCCGCCUUUUUCUUCUUAAACCCCAUCGCAAGGCCCUGACCUCAGCUGCUCCUCCCAAAGCGAACAGGCAGGCUGGCAGGAACCUGGGGGGUUACCCGGGGCCCUUCUCAGCAGGCCUGUGACCGCCGUCCCCUACGUCAUCCCCCUCCGGCACCCACCCCCGCUCCCCCCCAGCCUGGCUCAGACCCUCUCAGCCUCUCUUCUGGGACAGACUUCCUCCCCAGCUCCCUGCCCCCGCCAGGGUCUCCCGUGCUGCAGGCCCGUCUCCACACCCCCCAGGGCCUGAGAUCCAACCUGAUCGUGAGCUUACACACCCACUUCGUGUUUCUGUCUUCACAGCGGGUUUCCC